UCCUGGCUCAGAAAUGAACGUUGGCGGCGUGGAUUAGGCAUGCAAGUCGCACGAGAAAGUGCCCGCAAGGGUGCGAGUAAAGUGGCGGAAGGGUGAGUACUAUAUAGGUAAUCUACCUUCAGGAGGAGGAUAACUACUCGAAAGGGUAGCUAAUACUCCGUAACAUUGGGAGAGGGCAUCCUUUCCCGGUUAAAGAUGGGGAUCUUUCGGGACCUGUCGCCUGAUGAGGAGCCUAUAUCCUAUCAGCUAGUUGGUGAGGUAAUGGCUCACCAAGGCAACGACGGGUAGCCGGACUGAGAGGUCGGCCGGUCACAGUGGGACUGAGACACUGCCCACACUCCUACGGGAGGCUGCAGUCGAGGAUCUUCGGCAAUGGGCGAAAGCCUGUACCGAGCGACGCCGCGUGGAGGAUGAAGGCCUUCGGGUUGUAAACUCUUUUAGGGGGCAUGAAGGACGGGCGGUAAAUAGACCGUUCCUCCUUGACGUAAACCCCAAAAAAGCCACGGCUAAAACGU
RNAcentral lists this ribosomal RNA (515 nucleotides) under uncultured bacterium. RNAcentral describes it as "bacterial SSU rRNA". It matches the Rfam family "Bacterial small subunit ribosomal RNA", at positions 17 to 506 of the family's 1533-position model. The record is from RNAcentral.